UGUGUGGAAAAAAAAAAAGGUAACAAAGGUUUCCGUAGGUGAACCUGCGGAAGGAUCAUUA
Molecule: ribosomal RNA, 61 nt
Filed under: Melanoleuca leucopoda
Lineage: Eukaryota; Fungi; Basidiomycota; Agaricomycetes; Agaricales; Pluteaceae
Description: partial 18S ribosomal RNA
Source: RNAcentral